Molecule: ribosomal RNA, 872 nt
Filed under: uncultured Bacillus sp.
Lineage: Bacteria; Bacillati; Bacillota; Bacilli; Caryophanales; Bacillaceae
Description: bacterial SSU rRNA
Rfam family: Bacterial small subunit ribosomal RNA
Source: RNAcentral
GCAGUCGAGCGGACAGAUGGGAGCUUGCUCCCUGAUGUUAGCGGCGGACGGGUGAGUAACACGUGGGUAACCUGCCUGUAAGACUGGGAUAACUCCGGGAAACCGGGGCUAAUACCGGAUGGUUGUUUGAACCGCAUGGUUCAAACAUAAAAGGUGGCUUCGGCUACCACUUACAGAUGGACCCGCGGCGCAUUAGCUAGUUGGUGAGGUAACGGCUCACCAAGGCAACGAUGCGUAGCCGACCUGAGAGGGUGAUCGGCCACACUGGGACUGAGACACGGCCCAGACUCCUACGGGAGGCAGCAGUAGGGAAUCUUCCGCAAUGGACGAAAGUCUGACGGAGCAACGCCGCGUGAGUGAUGAAGGUUUUCGGAUCGUAAAGCUCUGUUGUUAGGGAAGAACAAGUACCGUUCGAAUAGGGCGGUACCUUGACGGUACCUAACCAGAAAGCCACGGCUAACUACGUGCCAGCAGCCGCGGUAAUACGUAGGUGGCAAGCGUUGUCCGGAAUUAUUGGGCGUAAAGGGCUCGCAGGCGGUUUCUUAAGUCUGAUGUGAAAGCCCCCGGCUCAACCGGGGAGGGUCAUUGGAAACUGGGGAACUUGAGUGCAGAAGAGGAGAGUGGAAUUCCACGUGUAGCGGUGAAAUGCGUAGAGAUGUGGAGGAACACCAGUGGCGAAGCGACUCUCUGGUCUGUAACUGACGCUGAGGAGCGAAAGCGUGGGGAGCGAACAGGAUUAGAUACCCUGGUAGUCCACGCCGUAACGAUGAGUGCUAAGUGUUAGGGGUUUCCCGCCCCUUAGUGCUGCAGCUAACGCAUUAAGCACUCCGCCUGGGGAGUACGGUCGCAAGACUGAAACUCAAAGGAAUUGA